This 76-nucleotide transfer RNA is filed under the name Candidatus Thorarchaeota archaeon. Its description in RNAcentral is "tRNA-Arg". It matches the Rfam family "tRNA". Rfam says of the family: Transfer RNA (tRNA) molecules are approximately 80 nucleotides in length. Their secondary structure includes four short double-helical elements and three loops (D, anti-codon, and T loops). The record is from RNAcentral. Lineage: Archaea; Promethearchaeati; Candidatus Thorarchaeota.
GGGCGCGUAGUCUAGUGGAAAAGGCACCAGCCUUCGGAGCUGGGUAUCCCAGGUUCAAAUCCUGGCGCGCCCGCCA